Molecule: ribosomal RNA, 469 nt
Filed under: uncultured bacterium
Lineage: Bacteria
Description: partial 16S ribosomal RNA
Rfam family: Bacterial small subunit ribosomal RNA
Source: RNAcentral
GAUGAACGCUGGCGGCGUGCUUAACACAUGCAAGUCGAACGGUGAACACGGAGCUUGCUCUGUGGGAUCAGUGGCGAACGGGUGAGUAACACGUGAGCAACCUGCCCCUGACUCUGGGAUAAGCGCUGGAAACGGCGUCUAAUACUGGAUAUGUGACGUGACCGCAUGGUCUGCGUUUGGAAAGAUUUUUCGGUUGGGGAUGGGCUCGCGGCCUAUCAGCUUGUUGGUGAGGUAAUGGCUCACCAAGGCGUCGACGGGUAGCCGGCCUGAGAGGGUGACCGGCCACACUGGGACUGAGACACGGCCCAGACUCCUACGGGAGGCAGCAGUGGGGAAUAUUGCACAAUGGGCGCAAGCCUGAUGCAGCAACGCCGCGUGAGGGAUGACGGCCUUCGGGUUGUAAACCUCUUUUAGCAGGGAAGAAGCGAAAGUGGCGGUACCUGCAGAAAAAGCGCCGGCUAACUACGUG